UACAGAGGUCUCAAGCGUUGUUCGGAUUCAUUGGGCGUAAAGGGCGCGUAGGCGGUGUGUCGCGUCGGCCGUGAAAACCUGCAGCUUAACUGUGGGCGUGCGGUCGAUACGGGCAUCACUGGAGUUCGGCAGGGGAGACUGGAAUUCCUGGUGUAGCGGUGAAAUGCGCAGAUAUCAGGAGGAACACCGGUGGCGAAGGCGGGUCUCUGGGCCGAUACUGACGCUGAGGAGCGAAAGCGUGGGGAGCGAACAGG
RNAcentral lists this ribosomal RNA (254 nucleotides) under uncultured bacterium. Its description in RNAcentral is "partial 16S ribosomal RNA". It matches the Rfam family "Bacterial small subunit ribosomal RNA", at positions 524 to 776 of the family's 1533-position model. The record is from RNAcentral.